Molecule: microRNA, 21 nt
Filed under: Gallus gallus (chicken)
Lineage: Eukaryota; Metazoa; Chordata; Aves; Galliformes; Phasianidae
Description: microRNA Ros-gga
Source: RNAcentral
UAAAGUGUGCCGGGGUCUCCA